This 445-nucleotide ribosomal RNA is filed under the name uncultured bacterium. RNAcentral's name for it is "bacterial SSU rRNA". It matches the Rfam family "Bacterial small subunit ribosomal RNA", at positions 354 to 796 of the family's 1533-position model. The record is from RNAcentral.
GUGAGGAAUAUUGGACAAUGGAUGGAAAUCUGAUCCAGCCAUGCCGCGUGCAGGAAGACGGUCCUAUGGAUUGUAAACUGCUUUAGCAUGGGAGCAAUAAGGUGUACGCGUACACCGAUGAGAGUACCAUGAGAAUAAGCACCGGCUAACUCCGUGCCAGCAGCCGCGGUAAUACGGAGGGUGCAAGCGUUAUCCGGAUUUAUUGGGUUUAAAGGGUGCGUAGGCUGUAAGUCAAGUCAGCGGUGAAAAGUCGGGGCUAAACCUUGAGGGUGCCGUUGAAACUGAUUUACUAGAAUGUGGAUGAUGCCGGCGGAAUGUGUCAAGUAGCGGUGAAAUGCAUAGAUAUGACACAGAAGGCCGAUUGCGAAGGCAGCUGGCAAAGGCACGAUUGACGCUGAGGCACGAAAGUGCGGGGAUCGAACAGGAUUAGAAACCCUAGUAGUCC